Molecule: ribosomal RNA, 253 nt
Filed under: uncultured bacterium
Lineage: Bacteria
Description: partial 16S ribosomal RNA
Rfam family: Bacterial small subunit ribosomal RNA
Source: RNAcentral
UACGGGGGGGGCAAGCGUUGUUCGGAAUUACUGGGCGUAAAGGGCUCGUAGGUGGCCAACUAAGUCACACGUGAAAUCCCUCGGCUUAACCGGGGAACUGCGUGUGAUACUGGAUGGCUUGAGUUUGGGAGAGGGAUGCGGAAUUCCAGGUGUAGCGGUGAAAUGCGUAGAUAUCUGGAGGAACACCGGUGGCGAAGGCGGCAUCCUGGACCAUAACUGACGCUGAGGCGCGAAAGCUAGGGGAGCAAACAGG